CUUGGUCAUUUAGAGGAAGUAAAAGUCGUAACAAGGUUUCCGUAGGUGAACCUGCGGAAGGAUCAUUACCGAGUGAGGGCCCUCUGGGUCCAACCUCCCACCCGUGUUUAAUCGUACCUUGUUGCUUCGGCGGGCCCGCCUCACGGCCGCCGGGGGGGUUUUCCCCUCUGGCCCGCGCCCGCCGAAGACACCAAUGAACGCUGUCUGAAGCUUGCAGUCUGAGCAGAUUUAGCAAAAUCGUUAAAACCUUCAACAACGGAUCUCUUGGUUCCGGCAUCGAUGAAGAACGCAGCGAAAUGCGAUAAGUAAUGUGAAUUGCAGAAUUCAGUGAAUCAUCGAAUCUUUGAACGCACAUUGCGCCCCCUGGUAUUCCGGGGGGCAUGCCUGUCCGAGCGUCAUUGCUGCCCUCAAGCACGGCUUGUGUGUUGGGCCCUCGCCCCCCGGCUCCCGGGGGGCGGGCCCGAAAGGCAGCGGCGGCACCGCGUCCGGUCCUCGAGCGUAUGGGGCUUUGUCACCCGCUCGUGUAGGCCCGGCCGGCGCCAGCCGACACCCAUCAAUCUUACCCAGGUUGACCUCGGAUCAGGUAGGGAUACCCGCUGAACUUAAGCAUAUCAAUAAGCGGAGGA
This 626-nucleotide ribosomal RNA is filed under the name Penicillium sp. F35. RNAcentral describes it as "eukaryotic LSU rRNA". The stretch from base 245 to 398 matches the Rfam family "5.8S ribosomal RNA". The record is from RNAcentral. Lineage: Eukaryota; Fungi; Ascomycota; Eurotiomycetes; Eurotiales; Aspergillaceae.